UACAGAGGGGGCAAGCGUUAUUCGGAAUUAUUGGGCGUAAAGGGCGCGUAGGCGGCUUGGCAAGUGGAUGGUGAAAUCCCUCGGCUUAACCGAGGAACUGCCGUCCAAACUGCUUCGCUUGAGACCGGGAGAGGUGAGUGGAAUUCCCAGUGUAGCGGUGAAAUGCGUAGAUAUUGGGAGGAACACCAGUGGCGAAGGCGGCUCACUGGACUGGUACUGACGCUGAUGCGCGAAAGCGUGGGGAGCAAACAGG
Molecule: ribosomal RNA, 253 nt
Filed under: uncultured bacterium
Lineage: Bacteria
Description: partial 16S ribosomal RNA
Rfam family: Bacterial small subunit ribosomal RNA
Source: RNAcentral